RNAcentral lists this ribosomal RNA (470 nucleotides) under uncultured bacterium. Its description in RNAcentral is "partial 16S ribosomal RNA". It matches the Rfam family "Bacterial small subunit ribosomal RNA", at positions 28 to 507 of the family's 1533-position model. The record is from RNAcentral.
GACGAACGCUGGCGGCGUGCUUAACACAUGCAAGUCGAACGGUGAACGAGGGAGCUUGCUCCCUCCGGAUCAGUGGCGAACGGGUGAGUAACACGUGAGCAAUCUGCCCCGAACUCUGGGAUAAGCGUUGGAAACGACGUCUAAUACCGGAUACGACGCGGGAGGGCAUCCUCUCCGCGUGGAAAGAACUUCGGUUCGGGAUGAGCUCGCGGCCUAUCAGCUUGUUGGUGAGGUAACGGCUCACCAAGGCGACGACGGGUAGCCGGCCUGAGAGGGUGACCGGCCACCCUGGGACUGAGACACGGCCCAGACUCCUACGGGAGGCAGCAGUGGGGAAUAUUGCACAAUGGGCGCAAGCCUGAUGCAGCAACGCCGCGUGAGGGACGACGGCCUUCGGGUUGUAAACCUCUUUUAGCAGGGAAGAAGCGAAAGUGACGGUACCUGCAGAAAAAGCACCGGCUAACUACGUG